UACGAAGGGGGCUAGCGUUGUUCGAAAUUACUGGGCGUAAAGCGCACGUAGGCGGAUAUUUAAGUCAGGGGUGAAAUCCCGGGGCUCAACCCCGGAACUGCCUUUGAUACUGGGUAUCUCGAGUCCGAGAGAGGUGAGUGGAAUUCCGAGUGUAGAGGUGAAAUUCGUAGAUAUUCGGAGGAACACCAGUGGCGAAGGCGGCUCACUGGCUCGGUACUGACGCUGAGGUGCGAAAGCGUGGGGAGCAAACAGG
RNAcentral lists this ribosomal RNA (253 nucleotides) under uncultured bacterium. Its description in RNAcentral is "partial 16S ribosomal RNA". It matches the Rfam family "Bacterial small subunit ribosomal RNA", at positions 524 to 776 of the family's 1533-position model. The record is from RNAcentral.